GACGAACGCUGGCUGCGUGCUUAACACAUGCAAGUCGAACGGAAAGGCCCUGCUUUUGUGGGGUGCUCGAGUGGCGAACGGGUGAGUAACACGUGAGUAACCUGCCCUUGACUUUGGGAUAACUUCAGGAAACUGGGGCUAAUACCGGAUAGGAGCUCCUGCUGCAUGGUGGGGGUUGGAAAGUUUCGGCGGCUGGGGAUGGACUCGCGGCUUAUCAGCUUGUUGGUGGGGUAGUGGCUUACCAAAGCUUUGACGGGUAGCCGGCCUGAGAGGGUGACCGGCCACAUUGGGACUGAGAUACGGCCCAGACUCCUACGGGAGGCAGCAGUGGGGAAUAUUGCACAAUGGGCGGAAGCCUGAUGCAGCAACGCCGCGUGCGGGAUGACAGCCUUCGGGUUGUAAACCGCUUUCGCCUGUGACGAAGCGUGAGUGACGGUAAUGGGUAAAGAAGCACCGGCUAACUACGUGCCAGCAGCCGCGGUGAUACGUAGGGUGCGAGCGUUGUCCGGAUUUAUUGGGCGUAAAGGGCUCGUAGGUGGUUGAUCGCGUCGGAAGUGUAAUCUUGGGGCUUAACCCUGAGCGUGCUUUCGAUACGGGUUGACUUGAGGAAGGUAGGGGAGAAUGGAAUUCCUGGUGGAGCGGUGGAAUGCGCAGAUAUCAGGAGGAACACCAGUGGCGAAGGCGGUUCUCUGGGCCUUUCCUGACGCUGAGGAGCGAAAGCGUGGGGAGCGAACAGGCUUAGAUACCCUGGUAGUCCACGCUGUAAACGGUGGGUACUAGGUGUGGGGUCCAUUCCACGGGUUCCGUGCCGUAGCUAACGCUUUAAGUACCCCGCCUGGGGAGUACGGCCGCAAGGCUAAAACUCAAAGGAAUUGACGGGGCCCCGCACAAGCGGCGGAGCAUGCGGAUUAAUUCGAUGCAACGCGUAGAACCUUACCUGGGUUUGACAUGGAUCGGGAGUGCUCAGAGAUGGGUGUGCCUCUUUUGGGGUCGGUUCACAGGUGGUGCAUGGCUGUCGUCAGCUCGUGUCGUGAGAUGUUGGGUUAAGUCCCGCAACGAGCGCAACCCUUGUUCACUGUUGCCAGCACGUUAUGGUGGGGACUCAGUGGAGACCGCCGGGGUCAACUCGGAGGAAGGUGGGGAUGACGUCAAGUCAUCAUGCCCCUUAUGUCCAGGGCUUCACGCAUGCUACAAUGGCUGGUACAGAGAGUGGCGAGCCUGUGAGGGUGAGCGAAUCUCGGAAAGCCGGUCUCAGUUCGGAUUGGGGUCUGCAACUCGACCUCAUGAAGUCGGAGUUGCUAGUAAUCGCAGAUCAGCAACGCUGCGGUGAAUACGUUCCCGGGGCU
Molecule: ribosomal RNA, 1346 nt
Filed under: uncultured bacterium
Lineage: Bacteria
Description: partial 16S ribosomal RNA
Rfam family: Bacterial small subunit ribosomal RNA
Source: RNAcentral